This 106-nucleotide small RNA is filed under the name Salmonella enterica subsp. enterica serovar Welikade. Its description in RNAcentral is "partial RtT sRNA". It matches the Rfam family "RtT RNA", at positions 27 to 130 of the family's 130-position model. Rfam says of the family: This family represents a bacterial cis-regulatory element known as RtT RNA. The exact function of RtT is unknown although it is thought that it may be involved in changing the cellular response in relation to amino acid starvation. Lineage: Bacteria; Pseudomonadati; Pseudomonadota; Gammaproteobacteria; Enterobacterales; Enterobacteriaceae. The record is from RNAcentral.
AAGCUUCGACUAAGGUUCGAUUCGAGCGAAAGCGAGAAAGCGUUGCCGCAGGCAACGACCCGAAGGGCGAAGCGCGCAGCGCUGAGUAAUCCUUCCCCCGUCAUCC